GGAUAUGAGGGUGAUCUGGCUGUGAUAUCUGUCCCCCAUUGAUUGCCAGGGAUGAUCCAGCUGAUCUGGAUGCCUAGGCAGGUGUCCCCUUCCCUCCUCACCACUCCAUGUGCAUCCCUCCUGAAGGUGCACUGUGGGUUGAAGAGGACAGCCUUCCCCAGUAGAGGAGGACUGUUCUUUCAUCCAGGAUAUCUGAGUGGCCAUGCUAUCCUGCUAGAACCUCCAAACAAGCUCCCGAGAUUGAGCCUCGGGGGUCCUCAGAAAGUAGAUGGUAGUUGGCACAAUUGGAAAAGUAUAG
Molecule: unclassified non-coding RNA, 298 nt
Organism: Aotus nancymaae (Ma's night monkey)
Lineage: Eukaryota; Metazoa; Chordata; Mammalia; Primates; Aotidae
Gene: 7SK
Rfam family: 7SK RNA
About the family: 7SK was discovered as an abundant small nuclear RNA in the mid-70s but a possible function has only recently been suggested. Two independent studies have found that 7SK RNA binds the CDK9/cyclin T complex (known as elongation factor P-TEFb).
Source: Ensembl